RNA transcript from Zalophus californianus (California sea lion), 2352 nucleotides. RefSeq lists it as uncharacterized. The transcript has 5 exons. The record is from RefSeq and is a predicted model, not a curated record. NCBI's taxonomy places the organism in Eukaryota, Metazoa, Chordata, Mammalia, Carnivora, Otariidae.
GUGGUUUCAAAAAUUGCUAUUUACAAGCAAACGUCCCGGAAUCAGACGCGAAGAUGGUGCCCGGACAGCUCCUGGAGAACACACCUUGAGAGGGAGAUGCGGGAUGGGGUCGAGGGCCCACAGCUAAGGGCUGAGGCCACCCAGGUCUCUGCGGGGAGGAAGGAGGUGAGUCACAGCGGCGGCGACGCAGAAAGCCGGCAGCUUCGCCGGGCUGGGGGAGCUUCGAAGAAACGCUAUGCUUCCCCCAUCCCGAGGCGGCACCCCGGAACCACUGCUAGCACACGAGGGGGCCACCCGAUCUCGGAUCCGGGAGAUCGCCGACGCCUGGGCUCACAGAACCCGCUGCGGCGCCACAACCCAAACCUGGGGGACCGGGGGAGACAUUUUGGGUGCACCGGCAAAACUCGUCCCCAGGGCUGGGGUCGUCCUGGCAACACGAAGGGCGGUGUGUGCCAGUGUAAAUAACCCGAUCGGGCAACAGGUACACAGCCUCGGUUCCGCAGGAGCCCCUCUCUCUCCGCGAGUCCCGGUGGACAAAAACCCCUGUCCUUUCUCAGCCGCCGACUUGGAACGACUGCACGCAAGGACCGCGGGCCACCGCCACGGUCUCGCCGAAGGGCGCCGGGCAGCUGGGAGCCGGCGACCGAGCGAUGCUGGGCCCUCGGCCUCUGGGGCGUGGGGGAAAGGGAGGACCGAGAGCCCAGCGCCGGCCUUGAAGGGGGUCCCCUCUCGUGGCACCUUGGCGGAGGCAGGACGCAGGACGCAGGACCCUCCGGCCGGAAUGCCGUCGCCGCGUCUCCUCCACCCAAAGGGCCGGCACCGGACACAACUUGCGGAGCACCAGCCGCUGCACGGCCGGCUGCCGCUUCUCCGGGAGCCCCGAACGGCGCCGUCCAUCACAUGCACUGACCCCAUACCACGCGCAAAACAAACACGCCGAGCGUGAAUUGAUAACUUUAUUGAAAAGACAACAAGUGCCCAAAAAUGAGGGUCCGUGAAUUUGCACUUCUCCUGCAUACAUUUAGCGGGCAUUUAGUGAACUGCUCUUGGCGGCGAGCUACACAGAAUGGGGCUGGGCUCAAAAGCACCGUGGGAAAAAACCGUCACGGAGGCCAUUCUGUGGGAAAAGGGCUUACCAGCGAACCACGGACGGACAUGAUGGAUGGUAACUAGACUUGCUGUGGUAAACACCUCACAAUAGAUACAGAUUUCAAAGGUGGCACCUACCCCCCUCCCAUCUCCACCGUAAUGCACGGGUCUACUGUUUAACAAGGUUAUCAGGCCGACUAUGAAGGAGUUCCAGAAAAUGAAGAUGUAGGCCUGGCACUCUCCACACCUGUUUACCAAGUACUUAAAAGCCACAGCUCUAAAAAGUGAAAAAAAUCAUAUGUUACGAGGAAAUACCAAGAGCAGGAGGCCCAGGCUGUUGUACUUGAAGGUCUACCCUCCCUGUAAGUCUCAGCUUCACUGGACAUAAGGUAGUUGCUUAUCUGCUGUGUCAUGUGUGUGAAAUCUUCCCUCAAGCCUAUGCCAAAAUAUUUGUAAAUUCACUCCUUAGGCAAAGAGCUUAUGCUCGUUUUCAGUAAAUCAGUGUAAUUCAACUCCUUGGUGAGUUGAGCGAUUUGAACGAUUUCCACUUCAGACUCCAUCCAAAUGUGACCCGACAGUGAAGUGGUGCCUGCAUGAUAACCCUUUCAGGAGCUGAGCUGUCUGUUGAGUAUGUGUGCUUGCGGGUAUUCCUUUCUUUACGUUUAUAUAAAAUAUUUAUGUUUCUGUAUAUAUUGUUCUAAGAUGGGUUAUAUAUAAAUGUACCAUAUAUAAUAUAAACUUGUGUAUAUACAAGUCACGUAUGAGUGCUUAUACAGGAAUACAUAGGAAUUACAUAAUUAUACCCUUAUAGUAUAAUACUUAAAUAAUACAUGAUGAUUCUAUUGUAGAGAAACAUUACUACCAUAUAAUGAUAUUGCUAUAUCAAUAGAUUAACGUGCUACUCAAUAACUAAUAUCAAUUCAUAAUAAAUAAAUAUUAAUCCAUAACUGAUACAGCAAAGAACAAUCUAUUGGCUAUAGUAUAUGGUAAUUGUAUAUUACAUAGGACUAUAUUAAUAACAUCGUAGAUAAUAACUGAUUAAUUAUAUGUGCAUUAUAGAAAUAUAUUUUAUAUUAGCAAUAACAAUGAUGUCACAUCGAUAUAUAUGGUAUUUAUCUGUUAUGGAAGAUGCUUAAAAAAGAAUAUACUUUUGAUAUACUGUGUAUUUAUUACGUAUACAUUUAACAUAUCAAAUAUAUAUAUUCUAUACUAGAUGAAUAUGUAAGCAUAUAUUCUAUGAAUUAAAUGUGAUUUAUAUGUUAU